RNAcentral lists this ribosomal RNA (330 nucleotides) under uncultured bacterium. Its description in RNAcentral is "bacterial SSU rRNA". It matches the Rfam family "Bacterial small subunit ribosomal RNA", at positions 568 to 898 of the family's 1533-position model. The record is from RNAcentral.
CGCGUAGGUGGUAGUGCAAGUCUGAGGUGGAAUCCCAGGGCUUAACCCUGGAACUGCCCUGGAAACUGCACUACUUGAGUCAGUGAGGGGAGGGUAGAAUUCCUGGUGUAGCGGUGAAAUGCGUAGAUAUCAGGAGGAAGGCCGGUGGCGAAGGCGGCCCUCUGGCGCUGAACUGACACUGAGGCGCGAAAGCGUGGGUAGCAAACAGGAUUAGAUACCCUGGUAGUCCACGCCCUAAACGGUGGGUACUAGGUGUAGGGCUCGUAAGGGUUCUGUGCCGAAGCGAAAGCAUUAAGUACCCCGCCUGGGGAGUACGGCCGCAAGGUUGAA